RNAcentral lists this ribosomal RNA (668 nucleotides) under uncultured bacterium. Its description in RNAcentral is "bacterial SSU rRNA". It matches the Rfam family "Bacterial small subunit ribosomal RNA", at positions 120 to 807 of the family's 1533-position model. The record is from RNAcentral.
GGUAACCUACCCUGUACACACGGAUAACAUACCGAAAGGUAUGCUAAUACGGGAUAAUAUAUUUGAGAGGCAUCUCUUAAAUAUCAAAGGUGAGCCAGUACAGGAUGGACCCGCGUCUGAUUAGCUAGUUGGUAAGGUAACGGCUUACCAAGGCGACGAUCAGUAGCCGACCUGAGAGGGUGAUCGGCCACAUUGGAACUGAGACACGGUCCAAACUCCUACGGGAGGCAGCAGUGGGGAAUAUUGCACAAUGGGCGAAAGCCUGAUGCAGCAACGCCGCGUGAGUGAUGAAGGCCUUCGGGUCGUAAAACUCUGUCCUCAAGGAAGAUAAUGACGGUACUUGAGGAGGAAGCCCCGGCUAACUACGUGCCAGCAGCCGCGGUAAUACGUAGGGGGCUAGCGUUAUCCGGAUUUACUGGGCGUAAAGGGUGCGUAGGCGGUCUUUCAAGUCAGGAGUGAAAGGCUACGGCUCAACCGUAGUAAGCUCUUGAAACUGGGAGACUUGAGUGCAGGAGAGGAGAGUGGAAUUCCUAGUGUAGCGGUGAAAUGCGUAGAUAUUAGGAGGAACACCAGUUGCGAAGGCGGCUCUCUGGACUGUAACUGACGCUGAGGCACGAAAGCGUGGGGAGCAAACAGGAUUAGAUACCCUGGUAGUCCACGCUGUAAAC